RNAcentral lists this unclassified non-coding RNA (196 nucleotides) under soil metagenome. RNAcentral describes it as "partial contains small subunit ribosomal RNA, internal transcribed spacer 1, and 5.8S ribosomal RNA". The record is from RNAcentral.
UUUCCGUUGGUGAACCAGCGGAAGGAUCAUUACAGAGUUCAUGCCCUUACGGGUAGAUCUCCCACCCUUGAAUAACAUACAUUGUUGCUUUGGCGGACGCUUCGGCAGCCGCCAGAGGACCCUAAACUCUUGUUUACAGUGUCGUCUGAGUACUAUAUAAUAGUUAAAACUUUCAACAACGGAUCUCUUGGUUCUG